CACGUAGGGGGCGAGCGUUGUUCGGAAUUACUGGGCGUAAAGGGCAUGUAGGCGGCUUGGUAAGCCUGGCGUGAAAGUCACCGGCUCAACCGGUGGAUUGCGUUGGGAACUGCUGAGCUUGAAUUGCGGAGAGGGAGCUAGAAUUCCAGGUGUAGGGGUGAAAUCUGUAGAGAUCUGGAAGAAUGCCAGUGGCGAAGGCGAGCUCCUGGCCGACGAUUGACGCUGAGGUGCGAAAGUGUGGGGAUCAAACAGGAUUAGAUACCCUGGUAGUCCACACUGUAAACGAUGUGCACUAGGUGCUGGGGCGGAUGCUUCAGUGCCGGAGCUAACGCGGUAAGUGCACCGCCUGGGGAGUAUGCUCGCAAGGGUGAA
This 372-nucleotide ribosomal RNA is filed under the name uncultured bacterium. RNAcentral describes it as "bacterial SSU rRNA". It matches the Rfam family "Bacterial small subunit ribosomal RNA", at positions 524 to 898 of the family's 1533-position model. The record is from RNAcentral.